Molecule: ribosomal RNA, 253 nt
Filed under: uncultured bacterium
Lineage: Bacteria
Description: partial 16S ribosomal RNA
Rfam family: Bacterial small subunit ribosomal RNA
Source: RNAcentral
UACGUAGGGUGCAAGCGUUGUCCGGAAUUAUUGGGCGUAAAGAGCUCGUAGGUGGUUUGUCGCGUUGUUCGUGAAAACUCACAGCUCAACUGUGGGCGUGCGGGCGAUACGGGCAGACUGGAGUACUGCAGGGGAGACUGGAAUUCCUGGUGUAGCGGUGGAAUGCGCAGAUAUCAGGAGGAACACCGGUGGCGAAGGCGGGUCUCUGGACAGUUCCUGACACUGAGGCACGAAGGCCAGGGGAGCAAACGGG